This 265-nucleotide long non-coding RNA is filed under the name Nicotiana benthamiana. RNAcentral describes it as "long non-coding RNA (NBEN_LNC019135)". The record is from RNAcentral. Lineage: Eukaryota; Viridiplantae; Streptophyta; Magnoliopsida; Solanales; Solanaceae.
AUUAAUUAAGGCAGCACAAACUCAUCCGACCAUUAUAAUAAAUGAAUUAUUGUCGGCAUUGGUUAUAUCAAACCGUUCAUAGGAUGACAAUAUCUCAUCUUCUAGGUCGUUGUGCCAUGUCGCUGAAGUGGUUGGUUAGUAUGGCUAUUUUUUUAAAUUCUUUUUCUUCUUCUUUUUUCCAAAUUGCUUUUAUUUAAAAUAAAGAAAUUUAGAACCGCAGCCGGAGAGAGUGGAAAGGAAAAAGAAAUAAAAUACUUAAGUGGCA